CCCGCUGUCCUCUGGGUCCACGGCCACCCUCCCGGAGGCCAUCUCUCUGCCUGGCCUCAACACCACCCGCCCCCUGGCUGGCAUGUGCCAAGGAGUGCGAGGGGUCCCCGUGUCUGGAAGGGGACGCCCCGGCUGGCCUGCCCGGCCUCGGCAGCCCGCCCUUCCAGAAAGUCCCCGGCCCCUUCCUGCCUGGCUUCCUGCCGAGCCCUUCCUGGAAACCGGCCCCCUGCCCUGCCCCCAGCCCAGCGCGGUUCCCCGGGUGACUCACCGGCCCUCCGGGCAGGCAGGCCGGCUGGCCGCCUUUCACUCACUGUCCUGAGAGUUUGAAAAACAACUGGGGUGGGAGGGGGCGCCCAGGGCCCACCACGCCGGGCGACCCCGAGGGACAGGGCAAGAGAACACGAGGUUUCUACUUAAACAUCUGCCUAAAAACGAGUCAGCGGGGUUUGAGUACAGCGGAAAAUGCGGUGCUGCAAAGCAAGCUGUUUAUAAGCAUAUGAACCUUGGGCUUCGGGUUCAGAAGGCUCACUGGAGUGCAUGCGACAGAAACUCAUGAGAGAAAUGAUUGGCUUCUGAAAUUGGAAACCACACCAGCUUCAGGCAUGGCUGGCUCCAGGGCCUCCAGUGGCUUCCGUCUAUGCUAGCAGGAGCAUUCCCAAGCCACAGGCUGCUACCUGACCUGUUUGGAAUUCCAGUCAAAAGACAGCUGUUCUUUCCCAUCAGGCCCAGAAAAGAGUCAACAGCUGGCUGAGGCCUGCCUUGGACUGGGUUCUGUUCCGAUCCCUGACCCCUGCAGCGACUCCAAGUGUCCAGGCGUGGGCUUCGGACAUACUCUGGUGGCUGCCAACCCUCCCAGAACAUCCGAAGGAAUUCCCCUGGGGAGACUGUUCUCUGAAGAAAGGGGCUGUAGAAGGGAGGAGCUGAUGUCCCUCAUGUUUAUACUGCUGUCUUUAGGGGUGCCUGGCUGUAGUACAGAGCUCUCUUCCCACCAAUCACAUAUGCAUUUUUCCUCCAAGAAGUGAGAGGAAAAGACGUGUCUUUCUCAGCCAGUGUCUUGAGCCAUUUUCUGUUGCUAUAACAAAAUACCUUUGGCUGGAAACUUCAUAAAAGAAAGAGGUUUGCUCAUCUCAUGGUUUCUGGUGGCCCCUCUGCCUGGCCUUGUGGCAGAUGACAUCACAGUGGGAGACCACAUGCAAGACCAGAAGCCAGGGAGACCGAGCAGCCAGGCUCGCACCAGCAUGACAAGCCAUCCUGAGAACACCAGCUCACUGCACAAUAGCCGUGUUGCUGCCUCUGCCGUCCCGCCGGAUGAUGAGGGCCACCAUGGCUGGGACCUUGUAGCUCUGGCCAACGGCCAUCCCCUGCCAGAUAUGGGAUGAGGCUGUCUCAGGUCCUCCAGUGACAGCUGAACACAGGCACUGGAGACAGCUCAGCAGACGUUAGUGGUGCCCACCCUGACCACGCCUCCUCGGUGGAUCCAUGGAUCUCUGAGCAAAGCCAGAGUGUGGUGUUAAAACACUGAGUGUGAGGCAGUAAACUGGGUCAAGGAAGCAACAGAAGGUGGCCCCUCGCCUCCAAAGAGGAUGAAACAGGUCCACACAAACAAAGCUUCUAUCAGCUGGGUGUGGCGGCGCCUCUCUGGGAAGCUGAGGCAGGAGAAUUGCAAGUUUGAG
Chinchilla lanigera (long-tailed chinchilla) is the source of this 1673-nucleotide long non-coding RNA. RefSeq lists it as uncharacterized. The transcript has 3 exons. NCBI's taxonomy places the organism in Eukaryota, Metazoa, Chordata, Mammalia, Rodentia, Chinchillidae. The record is from RefSeq and is a predicted model, not a curated record.